RNAcentral lists this ribosomal RNA (253 nucleotides) under uncultured bacterium. RNAcentral describes it as "partial 16S ribosomal RNA". It matches the Rfam family "Bacterial small subunit ribosomal RNA", at positions 524 to 776 of the family's 1533-position model. The record is from RNAcentral.
UACGAAGGGGGCUAGCGUUGUUCGGAAUUACUGGGCGUAAAGGGCGCGUAGGCGGUGUGUCAAGUCAGGCGUGAAAGCCCCGGGCUCAACCUGGGAACAGCGCUUGAGACUGGCACGCUCGAGUUCGGGAGAGGAUGGUGGAAUUCCCAGUGUAGAGGUGAAAUUCGUAGAUAUUGGGAAGAACACCGAUGGCGAAGGCAGCCAUCUGGACCGACACUGACGCUGAGGCGCGAAAGCGUGGGUAGCAAACAGG